Eurytemora carolleeae is the source of this 963-nucleotide long non-coding RNA. RefSeq lists it as uncharacterized. NCBI's taxonomy places the organism in Eukaryota, Metazoa, Arthropoda, Copepoda, Calanoida, Temoridae. The record is from RefSeq and is a predicted model, not a curated record. The transcript has 3 exons.
CUAAUGCAUAUUCUCCAACCAGGAAUUUAUUAAAAUCUAACAAUAGGACCUCCCCCACCACUUCUUUACUUUUAUGUUCACUGUUUAAAUGUAUGCAAGUUUUAAUAUAGCCUUAAGUGUAAUCAAUAUUGAGCAUUAUAACACACAACAAAAAUUACUUGGUGGUGAUGCAUGAGAAGAAUUCCUAUGAAUUUUUUUAUUUUGAUAACUCUGAAAUAAAUAUUUUUGAAAUAACAGAUGAACUACAAUCUUACCAUGUCGCUUUGGGGCCCCCCCCCCCUUAAUAUUAACAAAAUUAGGUUUUAAGUGUUCAAGUUUAAGUUAUAACAUUUUAAUGUGUUAAAAAUUUAUUCAAUAAAAAACAUUUCAUUGAAUCACACAUAUUUGUGUGAAAAUAUGUGCCUUAUCGGUUUAGCCUUUGUUAUGCAUGUGCGAAACAAACAAUGAGGCAGUUAAACAAGUACAUAAUUAUAUUGAUUGACAGAAUUUGUGUAUUUACGAUAAAUAAGUAUUAAUUUGUUACAUCAUGAUUUAUGACAGCCGUAAUUUAAAAUUGAGAAAGUUAAAUCCUAUUUCUCUUAAUUAAAUCAGUUAAUUACUUCAAAUAGGUUGCUGCUGCUCAGGCAGCUGAGAAUGUUUGGCCGCAGGCUACAGUUAGGUACUGCAACUUCCACAGAGCGCAGUCCUGGUGGAGGAAGGUUCAAAGAGUUGGAUUAUCCGGUGAUUAUCUAAAUCCCAGGGUCCACCGGGGGGGAGAACAAUGUCGACUUGGCCACGUGAUCAGGAAAAUUGGAGUGCUCGGAUUCUUACCUCCCAAUGUUGUAGAGCAGUGUUUUUUGAACUACAGAAACACCAAUCGAGUGAGGAGGGAGCAGCACAUCCACCCUGGCCUGAAUGUGUGGAUGAACUAUGUUUGGAACAAUUAUAUCGCUCCUGGUAAGGUUAUUAUUGUUAAUCGUUUUU